AUUAUUCUGGGGAUGGCCCAUAAGAAUGGUUGAACUAUGAAAAUUAUCAUUUGAUCAUAGCAGAAAAACAGAUUAGAAAAACCAUAAUAGAAUAGGUAUAGUAUAUACUGACAGCCAGUAAGUACAGUAUCUCAGGCCUGCAUAUUCUCAAUAGCUGUAAAGCAUAUAUUAUACAGGUUAAUUUACUUAUCUUAGGUGGGUUAUCUAUUCUCUUGCUGCCUGAUUUAUAGUAUCUUCACCCAAUAUCCUUUCUUAUUCUUUCAGUUAAGAUACUGUAUUUUAAUAUCAGAGUUAAUAUAUUCCUUAGAAGGAAGUUAGAUACUUAGAGGUUUUUUUUUUUUUUUUUUCCCUUCACUCUCUUGAUUUAUUUUACCCU
RNAcentral lists this long non-coding RNA (376 nucleotides) under Bos taurus (domestic cattle). RNAcentral's name for it is "long non-coding RNA NONBTAT026604". Lineage: Eukaryota; Metazoa; Chordata; Mammalia; Artiodactyla; Bovidae. The record is from RNAcentral.